GAAAUGCGAUAAGUAGUGUGAAUUACAGAAUUUAGUAAAUCAUCGAAUCUUUAAACGCACAUUGCGCCCCUUAGUAUUCUAUAGAGCAUGCUUGUUCGAGCGUCAUUUACACCCUCAAGCUCUACUUAAUAUUAGGCGUCUGUCCUGCCGCUUACUGGCGUGAGGACUCGCCCUAAAGAUAUUAGUAGUAGCCUUUAUUAGCUUCUCGCGCAGCGAAGAUUGCGUCGAUUAAGGCAUAGCGUUAAGCUCGCAUCCACAAAGUUUACCACGAUUUAACCUCGGAUUAGGUAGGGAUACCCGCUGAACUUAAGC
RNAcentral lists this unclassified non-coding RNA (312 nucleotides) under plant metagenome. RNAcentral's name for it is "partial contains 5.8S ribosomal RNA, internal transcribed spacer 2, and large subunit ribosomal RNA". The stretch from base 1 to 105 matches the Rfam family "5.8S ribosomal RNA", at positions 50 to 154 of the family's 154-position model. The record is from RNAcentral.